RNAcentral lists this ribosomal RNA (633 nucleotides) under uncultured bacterium. RNAcentral's name for it is "bacterial SSU rRNA". It matches the Rfam family "Bacterial small subunit ribosomal RNA", at positions 1 to 613 of the family's 1533-position model. The record is from RNAcentral.
CAGGGGUUUGAUCCUGGCUCAGGACGAACGCUGGCGGCGUGCCUAAUACAUGCAAGUAGAACGCACAGGAUGCACCGUAGUUUACUACACCGUAUUCUGUGAGUUGCGAACGGGUGAGUAACGCGUAGGUAACCUGCCUGGUAGCGGGGGAUAACUAUUGGAAACGAUAGCUAAUACCGCAUAAGAACAUUUACUGCAUGGUAGAUGUUUAAAAGGUGCAAAUGCAUCACUACCAGAUGGACCUGCGUUGUAUUAGCUAGUAGGUGAGGUAACGGCUCACCUAGGCGACGAUACAUAGCCGACCUGAGAGGGUGAUCGGCCACACUGGGACUGAGACACGGCCCAGACUCCUACGGGAGGCAGCAGUAGGGAAUCUUCGGCAAUGGGGGGAACCCUGACCGAGCAACGCCGCGUGAGUGAAGAAGGUUUUCGGAUCGUAAAGCUCUGUUGUUAAGGAAGAACGAGUGUGAGAAUGGAAAGUUCAUACUGUGACGGUACUUAACCAGAAAGGGACGGCUAACUACGUGCCAGCAGCCGCGGUAAUACGUAGGUCCCGAGCGUUGUCCGGAUUUAUUGGGCGUAAAGCGAGCGCAGGCGGUUAGAUAAGUCUGAAGUUAAAGGCUGUGGCUUAAC